GCAGUCAUGGCCGAGUGGUUAAGGUGUUGGACUCGAAAUCCAAUGGGGUCUCCCCGAACAAGUUUGUAUCAUGUGAGCUGCG
RNAcentral lists this transfer RNA (82 nucleotides) under Cordylochernes scorpioides. RNAcentral describes it as "tRNA-Ser". It matches the Rfam family "tRNA". From Rfam's summary of the family: Transfer RNA (tRNA) molecules are approximately 80 nucleotides in length. Lineage: Eukaryota; Metazoa; Arthropoda; Arachnida; Pseudoscorpiones; Chernetidae. The record is from RNAcentral.